Non-coding RNA from Salmo salar (Atlantic salmon), 54 nucleotides. The record is from Rfam. Lineage: Eukaryota; Metazoa; Chordata; Actinopteri; Salmoniformes; Salmonidae.
UGCACUCACUACUGUAAGUCGCUCUGGAUAAGAGCGUCUGCUAAAUGAAUAAAA